AUUGAACGCUGGCGGCAGGCCUAACACAUGCAAGUCGAGCGAGCGGCGGACGGGUGAGUAAUGUAUGGGGACUGCCCGAUAGAGGGGGAUAACUACUGGAAACGGUGGCUAAUACCGCAUACUAUCGGAUAACCCAUAGGGGAUUAGCUAGAAGGUGGGGGAAAGGCUCACCUAGGCGACGAUCUCUAGCUGGUCUGAGAGGAUGAUCAGCCACACUGGGACGGAGACACGGCCCAGACGCCUAAGGAGGCAGCAGUGGGGAAUAUUGCGCAAUGGGCGAAAGCCUGAUGCAGCCAUGCCGCGUGUAUGAAGAAGGCCUUAGGGUUGUAAAGUACUUUCAGCGGGGAGGCGUUACCCGCAGAAGAAGCACCGGCUAACUACGUGCCAGCAGACGCGGUAAUAC
Molecule: ribosomal RNA, 403 nt
Filed under: uncultured bacterium
Lineage: Bacteria
Description: partial 16S ribosomal RNA
Rfam family: Bacterial small subunit ribosomal RNA
Source: RNAcentral